This 1123-nucleotide ribosomal RNA is filed under the name uncultured bacterium. Its description in RNAcentral is "bacterial SSU rRNA". It matches the Rfam family "Bacterial small subunit ribosomal RNA", at positions 47 to 1162 of the family's 1533-position model. The record is from RNAcentral.
AUUGAUUUUAUGCUUGCAUAAAUGAUUUUUGGAUUCGGAGCGAGUGGCGAACUGGUGAGUAACACGUGGGUAACCUGCCCCGAAGUGGGGGAUAACAUUUGGAAACAAGUGCUAAUACCGCAUAAUUAGUUGGAACCGCAUGGUUCCAACUUGAAAGGUGGCUCUGCUAUCACUUUGGGAUGGACCCGCGCCGUAUUAGUUAGUUGGUGAGAUAAAAGCCCACCAAGACGAUGAUACGUAGCCGACCUGAGAGGGUAAUCGGCCACAUUGGGACUGAGACACGGCCCAGACUCCUACGGGAGGCAGCAGUAGGGAAUCUUCCACAAUGGACGAAAGUCUGAUGGAGCAACGCCGCGUGAGUGAUGAAGGUUUUCGGAUCGUAAAACUCUGUUGUUAAAGAAGAACAAGUGUUAGAGUAACUGUUAACACUUUGACGGUAUUUAACCAGAAAGCCACGGCUAACUACGUGCCAGCAGCCGCGGUAAUACGUAGGUGGCAAGCGCUGUCCGGAUUUAUUGGGCGUAAAGCGAGCGCAGGCGGUUUUGUAAGUCUGCUGUGAAAGCCCUCAGCUCAACCGAGGAAGUGCAGUGGAAACUACAAAACUUGAGUGCAGAAGGGGAAAGUGGAGCUCCAUGUGUAGCGGUGAAAUGCGUAGAUAUAUGGAAGAACACCAGUGGCGAAGGCGGCUUUCUGGUCUGUUACUGACGCUGAGGCUCGAAAGCAUGGGUAGCGAACAGGAUUAGAUACCCUGGUAGUCCAUGCCGUAAACGAUGAAUACUAGGUGUUGGAGGGUUUCCGCCCUUCAGUGCCGCAGCUAACGCAUUAAGUAUUCCGCCUGGGGAGUACGACCGCAAGGUUGAAACUCAAAGGAAUUGACGGGGGCCCGCACAAGUGGUGGAGCAUGUGGUUUAAUUCGAUGCUACGCGAAGAACCUUACCAGCUCUUGACAUCAUCUGCCAACCCAAGAGAUUGGGCGUUCCCUUCGGGGACAGAAUGACAGGUGGUGCAUGGUUGUCGUCAGCUCGUGUCGUGAGAUGUUGGGUUAAGUCCCGCAACGAGCGCAACCCUUAUUAUUAGCUGCCAGCAUUUAGUUGGGCACUCUAGUGAGACUGCCGGUGAUGAA